Penaeus indicus is the source of this 989-nucleotide long non-coding RNA. RefSeq lists it as uncharacterized. The record is from RefSeq and is a predicted model, not a curated record. NCBI's taxonomy places the organism in Eukaryota, Metazoa, Arthropoda, Malacostraca, Decapoda, Penaeidae. The transcript has 2 exons.
ACUUGUUUUCUACACAUAUACACAUUGUAUAAUUCUUGAAGCUGGAUACAUAUUUAUCAAUUACCAACAAAAAAAUUACUUCCGUAAAUAUAAUUGUUUUACUUGGCUCCUUUUUUACCAAUUCGUACACAGUGACAAGGCCGCCAUAUAUGCAAUCCGUUUUGUAAGUAGUCAUUUUCUGAAAUAAAAUGUUCGGAGUUUUUUAAAAUAACGUUUAUUUUGGCUCCACUAUUAAUUCUGUGGUGAUUACGACGGCUGUAAUUGGCUUGGCGAAUCAUCAGCGUGAUUGGGUACAAAGAUGACAUUAAGCGGACUGAUGGAGGAAGUAACACGCUCGGCUAUUUAAUUGGUUCUCAAUGGUCGAGACGGACGUGAGCGACCACGUGACCGCGGUGUUGGUAGUGCCUACACGACCACCACAGUGCUGCUGCUGGUGACCAUACGACGGGAGUAGCUGCUGAGAAUUUAGCCGAGGUACUGGUGUCGUGGACCAUGUGGCGGAGCUAUUGCCCCCGUUGCUGACCGCGUGCUCGGGAUGCUGUUUCCUCUGACAAGGAGUGCUGGCGAGAAUAUCUGAUGCUACAAGUGGUCCAAUUGUCAAGAGGCUGCUUAACACACGGAGGAAACUGAAAAUGCCGACUGCCUAGCUAAUGUGUAUCUGAAUUUAUGAAAUUUCGAUGCUGGUGAAAAACAAGCCCCUGUUGAAGACUCUCCGUGUGUAAGGAAUGACACUAACCCUACCUCAGUUGUUACUCUUACGUACAGUACCUUUAUUACACUAUUAUUUAAAUUACAAGCAGUGGCAUCAUUAUUGCUGACCUAUUACUGUCAAAAUUGCAGUUCCCAUUAAUAUGUACAAACUGUUAAGGUCGUUGUUUUCAGUAUUGCUGCAGUAACCACUAUAACAUCACAUACUAUCAUAUCUGGUACUAGUGUUGUUAGUGAAAAUCCACUUCCGUGUUUUUAUCACAGAAUAAACGUAUUGCCUU